AUCCGUUGAAAAGGGUGGCGAUGAGGUGUGGGUAGGGGAGAAAUUCCAAUCGAACUCGGAGAUAGCUGGUUCUCCCCGAAAUAGCUUUAGGGCUAGCGUUAUGUUAGAUUACCGGAGGUAAAGCACUGAAUGGUAGCGGGGCCGAUAAGGUUACCAACGCCUAUCAAACUAAGAAUGCCGGCUAAUUGAUGCAUAGCAGUCAGACAGUGUGAGAUAAGUUUCAUUGUCAAAAGGGAAACAGCCCAGACCUACAGCUAAGGUCCCGAAUAGAUGCUAAGUGGAAAACGAUGUGGAGUUGCGAAAACAACCAGGAUGUUGGCUUAGAAGCAGCCACUCAUUAAAAGAGUGCGUAAUAGCUCACUGGUCGAGUGACUCUGCGCCGAAAAUUUAACGGGGCUAAACUAUACACCGAAGCUUGGGAUACAUCUAAUGUAUGGUAGGAGAGCGUUCUGUAUGGGGAGAAGUCGUAGCGAAAGCGGCGGUGGACUAUACAGAAGUGAGAAUGCCGGAAUAAGUAGCGAGAAUUAAGUGAGAAUCUUAAUGGCCGAAAGUCUAAGGUUUUUGGAGGAAGGUUCGUCCGCUCCAAGUAAGUCGGGAGCUAAGGUCAGGCCGAAAGGCGUAGCCGAUGCACAUACGGUUGAUAUUCCGUAACCAUCUGUAAUUUAAGCAAAGGGACACUUCAAAAGGGUGUGACCCGGGCGUUGGUUGACCCGGGCGUAAGGGACCGAAAUUAGAGUAGGGAAGCACACUUAGCUGAAGGCGAGAAAAGCUUUGCGUAUAGAAACAGAUGCCCGUACCGCAAACCGACACAGGUGGACAGGAAGAGAAUUCUAAGGCCAGCGGGAGAAGGGUAGUUAAGGAACUCGGCAAAUUGACUCCGUAACUUCGGAAUAAGGAGUGCUCGAAAGAGCCGCAGAGAAUAGGCCCAGGCGACUGUUUAGCAAAAACACAGGUCUCUGCCAAAUCGAAAGAUGAAGUAUAGGGGCUGACACCUGCCCGGUGCCGGAAGGUUAAGAGGAGGAGUGAGAGCUCCGAAUUGAAGCCCCGGUAAACGGCGGCCGUAACUAUAACGGUCCUAAGGUAGCGAAAUUCCUUGUCGGGUAAGUUCCGACCUGCACGAAAGGCGCAACGACUUGGGCGCUGUCUCGACCAUGGACCCGGUGAAAUUGCACUGGUCGUGAAGAUGCGACUUACCCGCGGAAGGACGGAAAGACCCCGUGAACCUUCACUGCAGCUUGGCAUUGGCCGCUGGUCCCGCGUGUAGAGGAUAGGCAGGAGGCGAAGAUCCGGAGGCGCCAGCCCCCGGGGAGCCGCCCUUGGAAUACUGCCCUCGCGCGACCGGCGUCCUAACCCGAGGCCGUCAACCGGCUCGGGGACCGUGCCAGGCGGGCAGUUUGACUGGGGCGGUCGCCUCCUAAAGGGUAACGGAGGCGCGCGAAGGUCCGCUCGGGACGGUCGGCAACCGUCCUUUUGAAUGCAAGAGUACAAGCGGGCUUGACUGCGAGGCCCACAAGCCGAGCAGGUGCGAAAGCAGGCUCUAGUGAUCCGGCGGCCCCGAGUGGGUGGGCCGUCGCUCAACGGAUAAAAGGUACUCCGGGGAUAACAGGCUGAUCUUGCCCA
Molecule: ribosomal RNA, 1620 nt
Filed under: human gut metagenome
Description: bacterial LSU rRNA
Rfam family: Bacterial large subunit ribosomal RNA
Source: RNAcentral